GUUGGGGUUGCGGGAGGCGACGGUGACCUGGAUGGUGGUGGAGAGGACGCCGCCGGCGGUGGAGGAGGAGUUGGAGAGGUCGAGCUGGCGGAGGGUGGCGUCCUGGAGGUAGAAGCGAGGGUGGGUGGGGCGGAGGACGAGGUAGACGAUGAGGGCGAUGAUGCCGACGAGGAUGGCGAGGACGACGAGGACGGUGAUGAAUCGCCGGCAUCCCUGCCGGAAGUCGUCGUCGCCGUGCUUGCCGCAAUCCUUC
Molecule: long non-coding RNA, 253 nt
Filed under: Oryza sativa (Asian cultivated rice)
Lineage: Eukaryota; Viridiplantae; Streptophyta; Magnoliopsida; Poales; Poaceae
Description: long non-coding RNA (OSAT_LNC000096)
Source: RNAcentral